CCUCAAAUCAGAUGGGACUACCCGCUGAACUUAAGCAUAUCAAUAAGCGGAGGAAAAGAAACUAACAAGGAUUCCCCUAGUAACUGCGAGUGAAGCGGGAAAAGCUCAAAUUUGAAAUCUGGCUGCUUUGCAGUCCGAGUUGUAAUUUCGAGAAGUGUUACCCGUGCUGGACCGUGCAUAAGUCUUCUGGAAAGGAGCAUCAUAGAGGGUGAAAAUCCCGUCUUUGGUACGGACUCCCAGUGCAUUGUGGUAUGCUCUCAACGAGUCGAGUUGUUUGGGAAUGCAGCUCAAAAUGGGUGGUAAAUUCCAUCUAAAGCUAAAUAUUGGUGUGAGACCGAUAGCGAACAAGUACCGUGAGGGAAAGAUGAAAAGAACUUUGGAAAGAGAGUUAAACAGUACGUGAAAUUGUCAAUAGGGAAACGCUUGAAGUCAGUCGCGUUGCUUCUGGGAUCAGCCUUCCUUUUGGUUGGUGUACUCCUGAGUGACGGGUCAGCAUCAGUUUUGACUGCUGGAAAAAGGCUUAGGGAAUGUGGCUCUUUCGGGAGUGUUAUAGCCCUUUGUCAUAUACAGUGGUUGGGACUGAGGAACUCAGCACGCCGCAAGGCAGGUCUUCGGACACUUUCGUGCUUAGGAUGCUGGCAUAAU
RNAcentral lists this ribosomal RNA (645 nucleotides) under uncultured Basidiomycota. Its description in RNAcentral is "LSU rRNA". It matches the Rfam family "Eukaryotic large subunit ribosomal RNA", at positions 1 to 635 of the family's 3401-position model. The record is from RNAcentral. Lineage: Eukaryota; Fungi; Basidiomycota.